GGUGACGUGGCACGCAGAGCAGCGCGGGGGCGUGGCCACGUCACGGCCACACCAGGGAGGGCGGCGGGCAUCCGGGGACUCGGCUGGGACACAAUGCCUUGUUCCCUUGGGUGGGGCCUGCCGGGACAGGGAGGGACGCGCGGCCAGGGCACGGCCUCCCGCGUGAGUCACCUCUCGGGGGUGGCCCUGGGGCAGCUGCACCCGCCCCCUGCCUCGCCGCGCAGCUCGAGUCCCCACCCCUUUCUCGGAAAGAAAAUGUCAGCGGAAUUAGUCGCCUGCUGCCCGGCGCCGCAGAACCUGCGGGACUACGGGGACAGUGCAGGGCUGGCGUCCCGGGGCCCCGGCAUCUGGCCCACGGCUGUCCACGGCCCUCACCGGGUGGCAGACACACUAGAGAGGCAGAGAUUUGCUCUCAGCCUGUCCCCAGUGCCUGGAACAGUGCCUAGUUAGGAAGCCACAGGACACUCUUGUGGGAAGACUCCCCUCGUGGAACCUGAUUUUGUCAAUCCUGUAUCACUUUUGAGAGUGUGGAAAGAAACCACCCUUCAAACCGCCCACACAUUUGUGCACACAAGAAUCAGUCCUUAAAAGUGCUCUUUAUCCUCUUGAUUGUUCUGGCACGAGGUUGGACUGCAAGGAGUCAGGAGCACACAUGUUCCAUCUGUGGGUCUGCGUACAAGACAGCUGUGUUCUGGGCCUUUGUUCUCUGUGGGGAGCCCGUGGCUGACUAAAGAACUGCUCCGCAGGGUGAACACGUCAUGGAACACACUGCUUUUAAAAGACAAGUUUCUGAGUCAGGUAUGGGCCUCAUGCACUUGUUGUGCUGAGGCAGGAGGAUUGCUGUGAAUUUGAGGCCAGCCUAGAUGGUGUAGGGAGUUCGAACUCAUGGUCCCCCCACCUUCACAUCCCUAGUGCCGGGAUAGCAAGUGUCACCAUACCCUGUUUGCAGAAAGUGUCACCAUAUCCUGUUUGCAGAACUUUUGAAGCAUUUUUUUUUGUUUUUUGUUUUUUGUUUUGU
Long non-coding RNA from Mesocricetus auratus (golden hamster), 1018 nucleotides. RefSeq lists it as uncharacterized. NCBI's taxonomy places the organism in Eukaryota, Metazoa, Chordata, Mammalia, Rodentia, Cricetidae. The record is from RefSeq and is a predicted model, not a curated record. The transcript has 4 exons.